UCUCCGUUGGUGAACCAGCGGAGGGAUCAUUACCGAGUGCAAACUCAUAACCCUUUGUGAACCUAUAUCUGUUGCUUCGGCGGCUCGCUCUCGGGCGAGCCCGCCGGUAAUAUCAGUAUCUCUGUUUGAACCCGACGAUACUUCUGAGCGUUCUUAGCGAACAGUUAAAACUUUUAACAACGGAUCUCUUGGCUCUA
RNAcentral lists this unclassified non-coding RNA (197 nucleotides) under plant metagenome. Its description in RNAcentral is "partial contains small subunit ribosomal RNA, internal transcribed spacer 1, and 5.8S ribosomal RNA". The record is from RNAcentral.